AAUAUAUUUGAAUGUAUCUGCCAGAUCUGAGCCUAAACUCGUUAUCAGGUGAGGACAUUAAGGAAUAUUUAAGGGUAGCAAUAAUGUACUUUCAAUCGACUAGGACUUUAUCUUGUAUAAAGGAUAGUAAGAUCUUCUAAUGUAAAAAAAAAACAACAAAAAACUUAAUUCCUUAUUUGAAAAGGAAACCUAUCGACAUAGUUACAAAUAUAAAGGUAUAAAAGGAUCCAUAAAAUGCCUCUCUCACCCUAUCUUUGCGUUGUCUUCCAUAUUCCCCUAUUUCUGAAGACAUAUGUACCUCUUUUAGAAGAAAGCUAAGAAAAGAUUUUGAGAUGAUUUUGUGUAUUCGCAGUAUUUCUGUUUUUUUAACAAUAAAGUUUCAGCAUAAAGGAAUUUCCCAUAGAAUAGUGGAAAUGAUUCUUUCUAUAAAUAUGAUCUAUAAUCAACUUCUAUCAUGUAAGUAUGAAUGUAUAUUGUGUGCACACAGACUCAAAUAAAGCAAGAUCUGUACCCUGUAGGUUUCUGGUUUGGCAUUUUGUGUUAAAUCCAAGCAGUAAUGGCAAAAAAGAAAAGUUAAAUUAUAUACAGACCAACACUCCUAUUAACUCAUACCACUAAUGAAACAAAAAUCUAACUAAGCAGAGAAAAUGGGCCCACACAUUGGAGCUCUGAAAUGAUUCUGGUCUUUGAUCUGUGUGCCCAUCUCUCCUACUUAAUAUAAACUUCAAACCAAGAGCCAUGAAAAGUGGUUAUAAUUAGUAAGGGCCCCAGUGUGACAGCUUUUAGAGCAAUCAGGCAUUAACAACGUUUUCUUUCUCUUUAAUUCUGAGUAAAUUAAGCUGAGCAAACUUUUAUUUUAAAAUUUCUGUAAUUCAAAACACUUUCCCACCAGCGUGCACUUAGCACCCAAUUUCUGGGAGACGGGUUUGCUGGAAAACUUUAGUUUCCUUCUCUUAAUCUGUACCGAUAUUUAGGACUUAGCUUCUCAAAUUAUAGUGCUCUUUUCCAAAAAU
RNAcentral lists this long non-coding RNA (1013 nucleotides) under Capra hircus (goat). RNAcentral's name for it is "lncRNA (ENSCHIG00010021296.1)". Lineage: Eukaryota; Metazoa; Chordata; Mammalia; Artiodactyla; Bovidae. The record is from RNAcentral.